UGGAGGUUUUAAAAAUACAUAGGGAUUAAGGAGAGAACGCAGGUAACUUGUUUUUCUUUGGUUUUUACCAUAUAUUGGGGCUGAUGUGUACUGUAGUCCUUGCUGCUGUCCAGUAGUGAUGGGAGUGAGCGCAGGACUUAUCUUUCUGCAAGAUAGCAGUACUGUAUAUUAGAAAAGAAAUGACUCACAGGUUGUACCUGAUAGACCUACUUAAAUCUUUUUACUUUAUUCUUUCUGUUGCAUAGAAGUAUAAGUUUAUUACUCUGUUUUAUUGUAAGUUAUUUCACAUGGGAACUGUGUGCCUGGAAUGAUUGUUGCUUUAAAAAUACUAUAAGCCCACUACACUUAUUAUGAGAGUGGGAUAGUGUAAAUGUGUUGCAUUGUUUGCAUGAUGAGCUCAGUAUAUUUUAUAACUGAGACAAAAAGUCACUUCAUUAGUAUUUGAAAGUUAAUUCCCCAUAUGGGAUUAAUUGUAUAGAAACACCAAUCAGCACAUCUUCCCUGCCCUGUGUGUUUGUUGCAAAGGAUCCAUACUGUAAAUAUGAUUUUUGUUUGAAAAUAACAGAGCAACAUUUACAUUUUCAGCGGUCCAACACAUGCUUUAUUUUGCACUGUAAACUAACCUUUUUAUUGCAACAGGUUCCUUUUAAAUGAUCCAGUGUAAUAACUACUGCUUGUGUCUUCUAUGUCUCACAUUAUGUGUUAUUUUAAAUUGUGGUAUAUAGCCUGAAUCAGACAUCAUGGACAAAAGGUUUUUACCUGUGUUACUAAGGGCUCUUGGAGACUGACCGGUCUAAAGGUUUGCCAUGCCUUUAAAACAUGGUAUAGUAUAAAUUUUUUAAGUCUCUGAGAGUUCUGAGAGAUUCAGGUGAAACCAUGUCUGUUUAAUCUGGUCCAGAUGUUUGUUCAAUUUCUGUAAGAUUUAAGUUGAUGCAGCAUCAUCUCAGAUUAGUUAAUGGUAGUUUUAUACAAAUAGUUGAGUUAUGAGCGCGCUAUAUAAAUGGAUCCUUUCUUUAAAUACAAUACUAUAGUAGAUUAAAGUAAUGAAGUUAAUUAAGAAAAUGUACACAUAAGAAUCCCUAAAAUAAAUCUAAACUAAAAUUGGUAUACCUUCCAAUAAUAUGUUCUGAAUACAGCUGUUAACUGUUUAUUCUGUGUAAAUGGUGAUUGUGAUAAUGUGUGAUAAGUGUGCAGUUUAACUUGAAAGUGGUUUAAUUUAUAUGUUGCUGUGUUGUUUUAAAUUAUAUGUGAAUCAGUUUGUCACAGUCUAGUGAUACUGAUAAGAAUGACAGCCAAAUAACCUAGCAAAUAACUGUUUUAUUAGUUGUUGAAUACUAGCGUUUUGGCCAAGAAUAGUUGGAGAUUUGGAGGUGUUAGUUUAAGAUUGCUUUUAUAUUGUGUCUAUCCGUGUUUCCUAGGAGGGAGACAGAGUGUGUAGUUGUGUGCCCAUAAAUGUCAUUUCUGUAUUGGCAUAUCUGCUGGGUACCCAUUAUGUGUUUCUACAAAGAUAUUGCUUUGUGAGAUGACGUGUAAUAUUACAUUGGAUGCUGAGUAUGAGUUAUAUGGUUUGAAAUGAAUUGGUGAUUAUGAGCUUAGUACUUCAGUAAGAUGUGCUAAAAUCUGGAACAAGGUGGAAGCUGAAAUGUUGGGAUUAUGGAAGAAUAAGCAGUCUAUAUUCACUGCUUUGGCAUAUAAGCAGGAUGCAAAGGAAGAGAUUGGUAAUAUGAUUUUUGUAAAUAAAUUUUACAAGUGUUGGAAGGAUGAGGCAGGUUUGAUGUCUGGAGAUGAUAUAGAUCUUUUUAAAAUACAGUCAUGCCUUGGUAAUAUGUUGCCACAGUAUUAUUUGCUUGUGAAACAAUUGAUUUCAGACUGGGCCAAUUUGGAUAGCUCAGAUUUUCUUACCAAGGUUAUAGAAAAGGAAAAUGCAGGUUGUUUUGAAUUAAGAAAAGAUUUAGGAAAGUAAGGUUGCUUAUUAUGCUCAGGGAUUGCAACAUAUUAUGUCCAGCUACACAGGCUGAGAGCGAGGAUGGGAUGGAGCACAUAAAGCCCGCGGAAGGGGUGGUCAAAGAGGGGCAAGGGGAUGGAGACAGGGAAAUCAGGGUUAUAGGGGCAGGGGUAACCAAGGAGGAAUAGACAGGAACACUUGUUUCAACUGUGGACAAUAUGGCCACUGGAGGAAUGAGUGUCCACACCCCAGGAAACCCCAUCAAACCCCACACACCCCACCAACCCCACAAUUCUCAAAAUAUGCCCGGUAGGCAAGAACAACACCAGAUCCACUCCCAACACCACUGGCCAGCAUAUCGCUUAGUUCAGGACUUUAGAGCCCUGAAUAGUUUAAUUGUGCCCAUUUCACCCAUUGUCCCUGAUGUGACAUCCCUCAUUACAGCCAUUCCACAUGAUGCC
Molecule: long non-coding RNA, 2406 nt
Filed under: Pelobates cultripes (western spadefoot toad)
Lineage: Eukaryota; Metazoa; Chordata; Amphibia; Anura; Pelobatidae
Source: RNAcentral